This 2922-nucleotide ribosomal RNA is filed under the name Klebsiella pneumoniae. RNAcentral describes it as "bacterial LSU rRNA". It matches the Rfam family "Bacterial large subunit ribosomal RNA". The record is from RNAcentral. Lineage: Bacteria; Pseudomonadati; Pseudomonadota; Gammaproteobacteria; Enterobacterales; Enterobacteriaceae.
GGGUUGUGAGGUUAAGCGACUAAGCGUACACGGUGGAUGCCCUGGCAGUCAGAGGCGAUGAAGGACGUGCUAAUCUGCGAAAAGCGUCGGUAAGGUGAUAUGAACCGUUACAGCCGGCGAUGUCCGAAUGGGGAAACCCAGUGCAAUUCGUUGCACUAUCGUUAACUGAAUACAUAGGUUAACGAGGCGAACCGGGGGAACUGAAACAUCUAAGUACCCCGAGGAAAAGAAAUCAACCGAGAUUCCCCCAGUAGCGGCGAGCGAACGGGGAGCAGCCCAGAGUCUGAAUCAGCUUGUGUGUUAGUGGAACGGUCUGGAAAGUCCGACGGUACAGGGUGAUAGUCCCGUACACCAAAAUGCACAGGUUGUGAACUCGAAGAGUAGGGCGGGACACGUGGUAUCCUGUCUGAAUAUGGGGGGACCAUCCUCCAAGGCUAAAUACUCCUGACUGACCGAUAGUGAACCAGUACCGUGAGGGAAAGGCGAAAAGAACCCCGGCGAGGGGAGUGAAAAAGAACCUGAAACCGUGUACGUACAAGCAGUGGGAGCACCUUCGGGUGUGACUGCGUACCUUUUGUAUAAUGGGUCAGCGACUUAUAUUCUGUAGCAAGGUUAACCGUAUAGGGGAGCCGCAGGGAAACCGAGUCUUAACUGGGCGUUAAGUUGCAGGGUAUAGACCCGAAACCCGGUGAUCUAGCCAUGGGCAGGUUGAAGGUUGGGUAACACUAACUGGAGGACCGAACCGACUAAUGUUGAAAAAUUAGCGGAUGACUUGUGGCUGGGGGUGAAAGGCCAAUCAAACCGGGAGAUAGCUGGUUCUCCCCGAAAGCUAUUUAGGUAGCGCCUCGUGAACUCAUCUUCGGGGGUAGAGCACUGUUUCGGCUAGGGGGUCAUCCCGACUUACCAACCCGAUGCAAACUACGAAUACCGAAGAAUGUUAUCACGGGAGACACACGGCGGGUGCUAACGUCCGUCGUGAAGAGGGAAACAACCCAGACCGCCAGCUAAGGUCCCAAAGUCAUGGUUAAGUGGGAAACGAUGUGGGAAGGCACAGACAGCCAGGAUGUUGGCUUAGAAGCAGCCAUCAUUUAAAGAAAGCGUAAUAGCUCACUGGUCGAGUCGGCCUGCGCGGAAGAUGUAACGGGGCUAAACCAUGCACCGAAGCUGCGGCAGCGACACUAUGUGUUGUUGGGUAGGGGAGCGUUCUGUAAGCCUGCGAAGGUGUGCUGUGAGGCAUGCUGGAGGUAUCAGAAGUGCGAAUGCUGACAUAAGUAACGAUAAAGCGGGUGAAAAGCCCGCUCGCCGGAAGACCAAGGGUUCCUGUCCAACGUUAAUCGGGGCAGGGUGAGUCGACCCCUAAGGCGAGGCCGAAAGGCGUAGUCGAUGGGAAACAGGUUAAUAUUCCUGUACUUGGUGUUACUGCGAAGGGGGACGGAGAAGGCUAUGUUAGCCGGGCGACGGUUGUCCCGGUUUAAGCAUGUAGGCUGGUUAUCCAGGCAAAUCCGGAUAAUCAAGGCUGAGGUGUGAUGACGAGGCACUACGGUGCUGAAGUAACAAAUGCCCUGCUUCCAGGAAAAGCCUCUAAGCAUCAGGUAACAUCAAAUCGUACCCCAAACCGACACAGGUGGUCAGGUAGAGAAUACCAAGGCGCUUGAGAGAACUCGGGUGAAGGAACUAGGCAAAAUGGUGCCGUAACUUCGGGAGAAGGCACGCUGGUGUGUAGGUGAAGUCCCUGCGGAUGGAGCUGAGACCAGUCGAAGAUACCAGCUGGCUGCAACUGUUUAUUAAAAACACAGCACUGUGCAAACACGAAAGUGGACGUAUACGGUGUGACGCCUGCCCGGUGCCGGAAGGUUAAUUGAUGGGGUUAUCCGUAAGGAGAAGCUCUUGAUCGAAGCCCCGGUAAACGGCGGCCGUAACUAUAACGGUCCUAAGGUAGCGAAAUUCCUUGUCGGGUAAGUUCCGACCUGCACGAAUGGCGUAAUGAUGGCCAGGCUGUCUCCACCCGAGACUCAGUGAAAUUGAACUCGCUGUGAAGAUGCAGUGUACCCGCGGCAAGACGGAAAGACCCCGUGAACCUUUACUAUAGCUUGACACUGAACAUUGAGCCUUGAUGUGUAGGAUAGGUGGGAGGCUUUGAAGCGUGGACGCCAGUCUGCGUGGAGCCAACCUUGAAAUACCACCCUUUAAUGUUUGAUGUUCUAACGUUGGCCCCUGACCGGGGUUGCGGACAGUGUCUGGUGGGUAGUUUGACUGGGGCGGUCUCCUCCCAAAGCGUAACGGAGGAGCACGAAGGUUAGCUAAUCCUGGUCGGACAUCAGGAGGUUAGUGCAAUGGCAUAAGCUAGCUUGACUGCGAGCGUGACGGCGCGAGCAGGUGCGAAAGCAGGUCAUAGUGAUCCGGUGGUUCUGAAUGGAAGGGCCAUCGCUCAACGGAUAAAAGGUACUCCGGGGAUAACAGGCUGAUACCGCCCAAGAGUUCAUAUCGACGGCGGUGUUUGGCACCUCGAUGUCGGCUCAUCACAUCCUGGGGCUGAAGUAGGUCCCAAGGGUAUGGCUGUUCGCCAUUUAAAGUGGUACGCGAGCUGGGUUUAGAACGUCGUGAGACAGUUCGGUCCCUAUCUGCCGUGGGCGCUGGAGAAUUGAGGGGGGCUGCUCCUAGUACGAGAGGACCGGAGUGGACGCAUCACUGGUGUUCGGGUUGUCAUGCCAAUGGCACUGCCCGGUAGCUAAAUGCGGAAGAGAUAAGUGCUGAAAGCAUCUAAGCACGAAACUUGCCCCGAGAUGAGUUCUCCCUGAGACUAUAAGUCUCCUGAAGGAACGUUAAAGACGAUGACGUUGAUAGGCCGGGUGUGUAAGCGCAGCGAUGCGUUGAGCUAACCGGUACUAAUGAACCGUGAGGCUUAACCUUACAACGCCGAAG